RNAcentral lists this ribosomal RNA (464 nucleotides) under uncultured bacterium. RNAcentral's name for it is "partial 16S ribosomal RNA". It matches the Rfam family "Bacterial small subunit ribosomal RNA", at positions 28 to 507 of the family's 1533-position model. The record is from RNAcentral.
GACGAACGCUGGCGGCGUGCUUAACACAUGCAAGUCGAACGGAAAGGCCCAGCUUGCUGGGUGCUCGAGUGGCGAACGGGUGAGUAACACGUGGGUGAUCUGCCCCUAACUUCGGGAUAAGCUUGGGAAACUGGGUCUAAUACCGGAUAGGACAAUCGUUUAGUGUCGGUUGUGGAAAGUUUUUUCGGUUAGGGAUGAGCCCGCGGCCUAUCAGCUUGUUGGUGGGGUAAUGGCCUACCAAGGCGUCGACGGGUAGCCGGCCUGAGAGGGUGGACGGCCACAUUGGGACUGAGAUACGGACCAGACUCCUACGGGAGGCAGCAGUGGGGAAUAUUGCACAAUGGGCGCAAGCCUGAUGCAGCGACGCCGCGUGGGGGAUGACGGCCUUCGGGUUGUAAACCUCUUUCGACAGGGACGAAGCUUUGGUGACGGUACCUGUAUAAGAAGCACCGGCUAACUACGUG